UCCCUGGUGGCUCAGACGGUAAAGCGUUUGUCUAUAAUGCAGGAGACCUGGGUUCGAUCCCUGGGUUGGGAA
Molecule: transfer RNA, 72 nt
Filed under: Bos taurus (domestic cattle)
Lineage: Eukaryota; Metazoa; Chordata; Mammalia; Artiodactyla; Bovidae
Also listed under: 1 other name
Rfam family: tRNA
About the family: Transfer RNA (tRNA) molecules are approximately 80 nucleotides in length. Their secondary structure includes four short double-helical elements and three loops (D, anti-codon, and T loops).
Source: Rfam by way of RNAcentral